RNAcentral lists this ribosomal RNA (220 nucleotides) under uncultured bacterium. RNAcentral describes it as "partial 16S ribosomal RNA". It matches the Rfam family "Bacterial small subunit ribosomal RNA", at positions 111 to 334 of the family's 1533-position model. The record is from RNAcentral.
UAAUGUAUGGGGGUCUGCCCGAUAGAGGGGGGUAACUACUGGAAACGGUGGCUAAUACCGCAUAAUGUCUACGGACCAAAGCAGGGGCUCUUCGGACCUUGCACUAUCGGAUGAACCCAUAUGGGAUUAGCUAGUAGGUGGGGUAAAGGCUCACCUAGGCGACGAUCUCUAGCUGGUCUGAGAGGAUGAUCAGCCACACUGGGACUGAGACACGGCCCAG